UUCAACGCAUUGCACGAAAUUUCUGGAAAUGUGGAAAUCACAUCGAGAUAAUUCAACGCACUCUUUUCUACCAGAUGGAGACAUUUGCAUAAAUGACGUCGAAGCGGCCAUUAAGAAAUUUACGCAUCAAGAAAUACACCUGUUUUCCGUCCUUUGUUAAGAUUUCCCAGAUCUAAGGUGACGUCCGCGCUGCAACCGCCCCAUUCCCAGCCAUUUGGUGGUAACUCCUUCCUCGUCCUGCAAAAGGAACACCCGAACCUCGAUGAACAAGUGACUCGUUAAAUUGAAAAUUGGGGGUAUCGGUGGAGAUUGGAAUGGCCUUCGAAUACGUUUUGAGCACAGCCGCGUUGGUAACCAGCGUUUAACCAGGCAGAACAAGGUACAAAAGGCAAAGACAAGAGUUUACCUUACGGUAGGCUCACAACCGCAGGCCGUGAUGUUGCCCCUGCUGCAAGCUGCGGUCACGGCGUACGUUACA
Eufriesea mexicana is the source of this 478-nucleotide long non-coding RNA. RefSeq lists it as uncharacterized. Lineage: Eukaryota; Metazoa; Arthropoda; Insecta; Hymenoptera; Apidae. The transcript has 3 exons. The record is from RefSeq and is a predicted model, not a curated record.